RNAcentral lists this signal recognition particle RNA (99 nucleotides) under Acidobacteriota bacterium. RNAcentral describes it as "signal recognition particle sRNA small type". It matches the Rfam family "Bacterial small signal recognition particle RNA". From Rfam's summary of the family: The signal recognition particle (SRP) is a universally conserved ribonucleoprotein involved in the co-translational targeting of proteins to membranes. Archaeal SRP consists of a 7S RNA and homologues of the eukaryotic SRP19 and SRP54 proteins. Lineage: Bacteria; Pseudomonadati; Acidobacteriota. The record is from RNAcentral.
CUUCGGGCUCCGCACAGCGCGAGCCCCACGAAACCCGCCAGGCUGGGAACAGAGCAACGGUAGUGCGGGCAGCGUGUGUUGCGGGUCGGUCCGGAGCCU